UGUCUCUAUUUUAUUUUCAUUUUUCAUUUUCAUUUUUUUAAGAUAAUACUGAUAUUCCAUUAAAAAGUUUAAGUGGCUCAAAAAGACUAACACAUAGAACAGGAAACGACAUAAAGGAAACAUAGUCGACAGAAAACAAUUAACCCACUACAGAAGCACAGUAACCAAAACAACAAAAACAAAUAGAAAACCAAUAGACACAAAAAAACAGCCACAAAAUCAAAACCAUCAGCAGAGAAACCCACUAAGAAUACCAGCCAAUUCUUUUCGACGAAUAGAACCCCUUCAUAUUCUCAAAAAAGAAACGGAAAGAGACGACUUUGAAACUUAGCACAGGAGAUUCAACGAACCUUCUCCAAUCUUCAAAGCCCAAAACCAGCUCAGCACCUAUGAUACCUCACAGAUCGAUCCAUCUCGACCAACACUUCAACAGAAUUUGGUGUCUCCUCAACCUAGAAACAUGGUGAGAUCCGAUGACGACCAUCCAUCACCAAUGCAUGUGCUGCCCGAUUAGUAUCUCUGGGAACAAACUGGUAUGCCACCGCCUCAAAAAACCUCUCUAAAAGCCGAAUAUCCUGUGAAAUUGGGCUUAAAAUAGAUCUAUCCACUAUGUUCGAGUUUAGCUUCUUAAUAACAGUAAGAGAAUCACCUUCCAGGAUGAUAUUUCUGAAACCCAUAUGCAACGCAAAGUAAAGAGCCCUUUCACACGCUCUCGCCUUAGCUACAAAAGCAUCUGCCACAUCCGCUAUCGGGUAAGUACAAGCACCCAAUAUCUGUCCUUCCUCGUCUCUAGCUAACACUACUGCAAUAGAAAUCUUAGUGUUGUCCAUAAACGAUGCGUCAACAUUCAGCUUCAUAAACCUAGAUGUAGGUGGCUGCCACAAAACAUUCCUUGGUUUAUCAGGAAAAAACCUUUGAACUCUACUGGUACUGAAAUCCUAGGCAUAACUUUGAACAAACCCCACAAUCUUAUGCAUAUCAAAAUUGAGACCUUCAUUUACCAGCCUACUCCUCUUAAACCAAAGGGCUCACAAAGAAAUAGUUAUACGUUUCUUAAAUUUCAUAUCAACUACAAGAAAGAAACUUACGAAUUGUGUUCUUCCAUCUGAGAGACCUAUACUGUUAUCAAAGGAGAGAUACAGAGAAAGCCAGAGUUGACGCAAGACACUACAAGACCAUAAUAGAUGAUGCACGUCCCCGGGGCCUCCUUACACAAAGGACAGACAUUAUCGACUCACAGUCUCCUUUUGGCCAAAUUGGAGAAAUGAGGCACAUAGUCCUUUAGAGUACGGUAUAGAUGAAUUUUAAUCUUAGCAGGGAUUUGAAGGUCCCAAAUAGAUGUAUAGAGUUUUUUUCAUUAUCGUUUUUACUCAAAUUACUGUCUGUAUGCUGGGUCACUUUUGUAAGUAACGCUCGAUACCCACUCUUCACCGAAUACUCUCUUGAAGUAUCAUGGCACCAAGCAAGCAAAUCAGGAAUACUACACCCAGCAAGAGGAAUGUUGAAAAUUUUUCGAGUAUGAACUUCAUCGCAUAUCUUAAAAAUCACCUCAUUUUUCCAGGUACUAGAAUCCGUAUUAAUCAAUUGAUCAACAGUAGACCAAUGAGUAUCCAUAUUCGUUACUAACAGUCUGCCAUUUCCAGGACCAGGAAGCUAGGGAUCAUUCCAGAUAUUUACCUUUACACCAUUGCCAAUUCUCCACAGGAGUCCGUCAUCAAGUACGUUCCAAGCACACAGAUACUCCUCUAUGUAAAAGAAGGAUAAGAACUAAUUUUAACUGAUAGUAUAUUAGUAAAAGGAUAAUAUCGGGACUUAAAGACUUUCGAGAGAAGGCAGUCAGGCUGGGAUAAAAGCUUUCCGUCUUGCUUAGCUAAAAGGCUUUAUUGAACAAAUAGAGGUCUCAAAAACCCAUCCCACCAUUAACUUUUGGCAAACAGAGCACACUCUAAGUACUCCAAUGGAUUCCUUUGGCAGUUUUACUAUUUGCCCACCAAAACUUGUUCAAUAUACCUUCAAGUUGAUAACAUAACUUUUUUGGCAAUGCAAAUAUUGCAUCACUUAAACCAGAAUUGCUUGAAGGACAGCCUUAACAAAAAUUUCUCUACUGCCCAUCGAUAAUUACUGAAUCUUCCAACCCUCAAUUCUCUUGCGAAAUCUGUCAACGAAAUUAGCAAAAGCCUAAUUUUUCUUCCUCCCAAUCAUUAUAGGCAAGCCCAAAUAUUUUUCAGGGUUCAUUGCCAAUCUAGCACCCAAAAUGCUUACAAUCAUAUUCCUAACCUCAGACCUGACACAUGCACCAAAAUAGAUGAACGACUUAUCCAAAUUAAUUCGUUGCCCCGAAGCUACCUCGUAUUCCAAAAGAAUGUUACGAACAGUGUGAGCACCCUCAGCCGAGGCAUUGCUAAAUAUGAUGCAAUCAUCAGCAAAUAACAAAUGAGUAAUUGAUAUCUUGCCUCUACCAAUCAAAGCACCCCUUAACUUAUUAUUGAUUUUAGCCUAAUUCAAUAAACAAAAGAGACCUUCUGCAUAAAGAAGGAAGAGAUAGGGACUAAGUGGGUCACCUUGCCGG
This 2569-nucleotide long non-coding RNA is filed under the name Gossypium barbadense (sea-island cotton). RNAcentral's name for it is "long non-coding RNA (GBAR_LNC000988)". Lineage: Eukaryota; Viridiplantae; Streptophyta; Magnoliopsida; Malvales; Malvaceae. The record is from RNAcentral.